GACGAACGCUGGCGGCGUGCUUAACACAUGCAAGUCGAACGGAAAGGCCCUGUCUUUGUGGGGUGCUCGAGGGGCGAACGGGUGAGUAACACGUGAGUAACCUGCCCCUGACUUUGGGAUAACUUCAGGAAACUGGGGCUAAUACCGGAUAGGAGCUCCUGCUGCAUGGUGGGGGUUGGAAAGUUUCGGCGGUUGGGGAUGGACUCGCGGCUUAUCAGCUUGUUGGUUGGGUAGUGGCUUACCAAGGCUUUGACGCGUAGCCUGCCUGCGAGGGUGACCGGCCCCAUUGGGACUGGGAUGCGGCCCAGACCCCUCCGGGAGGCAGCGGUGCGGUGUAUUGCACUAUGGGCGGAGGCCUGAUGCAGCCACGCAGCGUGCGGGAUGACGGCCUUGGGGUUGUGUACCGAUUUCGCCUGUCACGAGGCGUGAGUGACAGUAAUGGGUAAAGAAGCACCGGCUAACUACGUG
RNAcentral lists this ribosomal RNA (468 nucleotides) under uncultured bacterium. Its description in RNAcentral is "partial 16S ribosomal RNA". It matches the Rfam family "Bacterial small subunit ribosomal RNA", at positions 28 to 507 of the family's 1533-position model. The record is from RNAcentral.